UACGUAGGCGGCAAGCGUUGUCCGGAAUUAUUGGGCGUAAAGGGAGCGCAGGCGGGAAGUUAAGCGGACUUUAAAAGUGCGGGGCUCAACCCCGUGAGGGGGUCCGAACUGACUUUCUUGAGUGCAGGAGAGGGAAGCGGAAUUCCUAGUGUAGCGGUGAAAUGCGUAGAUAUUAGGAAGAACACCAGUGGCGAAGGCGGCUUUCUGGACUGUAACUGACGCUGAGGCUCGAAAGCUAGGGUAGCGAACGGG
This 252-nucleotide ribosomal RNA is filed under the name Megamonas hypermegale. RNAcentral describes it as "partial 16S ribosomal RNA". It matches the Rfam family "Bacterial small subunit ribosomal RNA", at positions 524 to 776 of the family's 1533-position model. The record is from RNAcentral. Lineage: Bacteria; Bacillati; Bacillota; Negativicutes; Selenomonadales; Selenomonadaceae.